Molecule: non-coding RNA, 247 nt
Organism: Pelobates cultripes (western spadefoot toad)
Lineage: Eukaryota; Metazoa; Chordata; Amphibia; Anura; Pelobatidae
Source: the annotation of a GenBank genome assembly
GCCUCCUCCUGACAUCAAGGAUUGCUCGGUCCAAUAAAAAAAAGCUUCUCAUGUGCACACUCUGAGCCGGCAAGGGGAGUGGGGAGGGAGACUAAAAUACAAUUGAAGAGAGGGGUUAGCGAGGUGGCAAGGCUGCAGGGAAUGGAGGGGAAACACAAGAUAUAAGAGACGCAGAUUAAGUCUGUCGCCGGCGUGCAGUGAGCGCUGAUGACAGACAUAAAAUAAGCACAGAACUGACAUUUUUCAG